UCUAUUCUAUUUGGGGGGAUGGGAUGGGGGGAAAUGGACAUCUGGUGAUGCCUAUUUUUGUUACAGAAGAAUCAUCUGUGAAAGGAUACUGCGUUUUCUCUCGUCAGGCUGAAAGCAUCACACCAGAAAACGAGUCAGUCCCGGGGUCGGUCAGAUAUUUUCCUCUUUACACACACACACACACACACACACACACACCCGGCUAUGGGAUGACAAAGGCCAUCAACGACAAAGCAGAUGAAUGCGCAGGCAGGCACGGCACUUGUGCCUGCGUGUGUGCUGUGCGAGUCUUUGACCUCUUCCAAGAGCUGCAUCAAAAAUCAACCUUUUGCAGCGUUCUCGCUCAGCAGAUUUCCUGGCGGCUGGACGAAAGCCGAUCUUCAGCUACGGCUGUCUGCAGUUUGCUGUGGCUGAGUGGAAAUAUCCACAGGGACAGCUUUGUUCUACAGCCCAUCCUCUGGGAACCAGUGACUGCACGAUCCUUGUUGGGAAGGUUCUUCUUUCCUGGUCUUCUUCUGCAGUUAUAACACACUGUGGUUCUUCUCCUUUGGCACUCUCUUUUAGCCAGGUCUGUGUCUUCUCCUGACUGUGUAAUAGAUCCUUCAGAUCUUCCCUGUUCUCACCCUUAAAGAAGCCAAGCAUGGAGAGAGAACUUGGGCACUUCCUGUAGGGCUGGCUGGAACUCUAGGCAUCAUGAUGACAUGCUUCAGCCCAUUGUCCCAUCACCCACUCUAGAAGACUCCGGAAUGGAAGGUACCCAGGCAGAUGAGGAAAGGGCUCCUCUAGGACCCCACAUAGCACUCACUUGAGUC
Molecule: non-coding RNA, 812 nt
Organism: Peromyscus maniculatus bairdii (prairie deer mouse)
Lineage: Eukaryota; Metazoa; Chordata; Mammalia; Rodentia; Cricetidae
Source: RefSeq, a predicted model, not a curated record